AAUAUAAAAACAAAGAUCAUGAGUUAGAGAAUAAGGAUAUAUGAUAAU
This 48-nucleotide non-coding RNA is filed under the name Trypanosoma brucei brucei. Lineage: Eukaryota; Euglenozoa; Kinetoplastea; Trypanosomatida; Trypanosomatidae. The record is from RNAcentral.